RNAcentral lists this ribosomal RNA (427 nucleotides) under Frigoribacterium sp. PDD-14b-13. Its description in RNAcentral is "bacterial SSU rRNA". It matches the Rfam family "Bacterial small subunit ribosomal RNA", at positions 194 to 637 of the family's 1533-position model. The record is from RNAcentral. Lineage: Bacteria; Bacillati; Actinomycetota; Actinomycetes; Micrococcales; Microbacteriaceae.
GCAGCUUGGAAAGAAUUUUGGUCAAGGAUGGACUCACGGCCUAUCAGGUAGUUGGUGAGGUAAUGGCUCACCAAGCCGACGACGGGUAGCCGGCCUGAGAGGGUGACCGGCCACACUGGGACUGAGACACGGCCCAGACUCCUACGGGAGGCAGCAGUGGGGAAUAUUGCACAAUGGGCGAAAGCCUGAUGCAGCAACGCCGCGUGAGGGACGACGGCCUUCGGGUUGUAAACCUCUUUUAGUAGGGAAGAAGCGAAAGUGACGGUACCUGCAGAAAAAGCACCGGCUAACUACGUGCCACCAGCCGCGGUAAUACGUAGGGUGCAAGCGUUGUCCGGAAUUAUUGGGCGUAAAGAGCUCGUAGGCGGUUUGUCGCGUCUGCUGUGAAAUCUGGGGGCUCAACCCCCAGCCUGCAGUGGGUACGGGC